This 435-nucleotide long non-coding RNA is filed under the name Panax ginseng (ginseng). RNAcentral's name for it is "long non-coding RNA (PGIN_LNC019019)". Lineage: Eukaryota; Viridiplantae; Streptophyta; Magnoliopsida; Apiales; Araliaceae. The record is from RNAcentral.
CUACACUAUGACUCCUAGUAAAAAAAAUCUCUAGCUCCAUUUCAUGAUCCUCCACAAUAUUAAAUGCUACCAGAUACCACUCCUACCCAUCCUAACUUUCAAACCCUAGUAUGCAAGUUACUAAAUUUUUCAUCAAUUACACAAAUGAAUAAAGAGUACUUCCUAGAGGUCUAAAAUGAUGUUACAUUAUUACAUUGGUUAACAAUAUCACUUGUGAUUGGCCAUUUAAUUAUGUUGAGAACCCUCUAAUAAGGAAUAAAUUGCAAGCAUUUUUUGGAAUACAUUACAUCAUCAAAGGAAUGCUUGCUUAUUCAUACCGUCAAGGUUUACCAAGAGAGAAACAGAAAUAUAUGUCACAAUACUUCAAACCCCUAUUGCUUUCUCUGUUAUCUAUUAAUAGAAUUUUAGUAAAUUAACUGAAUUCUCAGACUAAUA